RNAcentral lists this ribosomal RNA (253 nucleotides) under uncultured bacterium. RNAcentral's name for it is "partial 16S ribosomal RNA". It matches the Rfam family "Bacterial small subunit ribosomal RNA", at positions 524 to 776 of the family's 1533-position model. The record is from RNAcentral.
UACGAAGGGGGCUAGCGUUGCUCGGAAUCACUGGGCGUAAAGCGCACGUAGGCGGACUCUUAAGUCGGUGGUGAAAGCCUGGAGCUCAACUCCAGAACUGCCUUCGAUACUGAGAGUCUUGAGUUCGGGAGAGGUGAGUGGAACUGCGAGUGUAGAGGUGAAAUUCGUAGAUAUUCGCAAGAACACCAGUGGCGAAGGCGGCUCACUGGUCCGGUUCUGACGCUGAGGCGCGAAAGCGUGGGGAGCAAACAGG